This is a long non-coding RNA of Oryzias melastigma (Indian medaka), 686 nucleotides long. RefSeq lists it as uncharacterized. The transcript has 2 exons. The record is from RefSeq and is a predicted model, not a curated record. Lineage: Eukaryota; Metazoa; Chordata; Actinopteri; Beloniformes; Adrianichthyidae.
AUGUCUGCAAGUUGAAUCGACAAUGAUGUUAUUGUUCUGCAGCCGGAUUAAAUGAAUCACUCAGGAAUUUCUUUUUUUUCCUCUUUUUUAGGGGGGUCUCAUUAUUACCUGCACGAUAACAAAGACAAGUUGUACCACCGGGAAGGCUACUUUAACAGCUGAAUCACAGUGAAGAUGGUGUAGUAGAUCAUCCAGAUGGAGGUGAGGAGGAGGAGGAUGAUGAGAUAAACUUGCAGAUCUGAGGUGCUGAUUUUAACAUGAGCUGAAGCGCUGCCACUGACUAAGGCACAUCCCAGGAUGAGAAUGUUCAGACAGAGAAACGCAGACAGCAUCCAUCCCCAGCUCCGACCCCGGUCCCGACCAACUUCAGAGGAGACGUUCAGCUCGGGUUCGCUCGCAGCUUGACCUGCAGCAUUUAUGUUGUUGGAGAGGUGCGCCUCCUCCAUAUCUCUGUCUUUGGCUGUCAUCUUGCAGGGUUCACACAGAUUGCCGCUGGCCAAACAUUCGCAUGGGUAUCCGGGGUUGAAACACAUGCCUCCUCUCUCUGGGAUCCUUCACAAAUGAGUCAGUGCCCUGCACCUGGAACCAGAUAUGAGAUAUUUCAGGUUUAUCAGCUACACCCGCUCACUGGGUCCUUGUGAAGGCAAAUCCCUCUGCUUUAUCACCAAAAAAAAAAAAAAAAAGAA